Molecule: long non-coding RNA, 1750 nt
Organism: Coturnix japonica (Japanese quail)
Lineage: Eukaryota; Metazoa; Chordata; Aves; Galliformes; Phasianidae
Source: Ensembl
UGCAGGGACAAUCAUUUCAGAGUUGCUAGAUAAGCUGCUUUGAAAAUCUGACAUUAUUUCCAUUUAGUGAUCUUGCCUUAGCGCUUCUAAUAUACAUCUAACAAUUAUAUGCAUUUAUAGAUAUAUCUCUAUAUAUAGAUAUGUAAACAUACACAUUCUCUCCUGGGACAUGUAAAUAUGUCCUCAGGGCUGAACAAUGGUUAUUAAUACACUUCCAUUGCUCUCUAUGGGAGAAGAGACAUCUAGAAAAUCAGCAGGAAAUAGCUCAGAAAGAUAUUUUAGUAUUAGCAUGCAGAUUCUAGUGGCUGUUUUUAUAUGUUUAUUAAUACAAAUAAUGCCGGUGGUGUUCUGAACUAGUCUUAUUUGUGUGAAGUGAAUUCCAAUUUCCCUCAUGUUUGUGAGGAGGCUGGAUCCAGAGAAGUUUCAAACAGAGCAGAAGCAUAGUGUGGAGUUUCCCUGUCCUUGACUUUGGUGACCAUCCCGCAUCUUGUAAAAUCAUAAUGGCAUGGCAUAUUUAUUUAAAGUUUGGCCAAUGUGACUGUACAGUUUACAACAUUCUCCAGUUGAACAGCAGGAGAGGAAGAGAACAGUAUGAUGUGAGUGGGCCUGGUCACUUCCAGGUCAGGGCUAUAGCUAUCAAAGACAGGAGAACCAAAACCGGAGCAGUCAUGCUGUCACCCCGAGAAAUCCUUGUCUCCAUGCCCUUGCCUUCUCAACUUCAUCCCAAAGUCUACCCAACCCAUUUCUCCCUGAUGAGAAGUAAGCAGCCUGCCCCUCCAAUCCUGGCAUCACAUAGCUCAUCAAUGGAGUUCUGCCCACUGUGACAUGGCCACUCUGUUGCUAGGGCUGAUGCUGGGUACUCAGAUAGGGACCAGCUCCCAGCUUCCAGGAAAACAGAUUGCAGAGCUGCCUUUUUUUUAUGACCAUGGGAACUUCCAUUUUAAUAAAUGUUAUGGUAUAAAGACUUUGCUUCUUGCCAACUCUUCCCAGUCACUCUGCAGGCUGUACAGGAAGGAAGACCCUAGUUUAUCAGGAGAUGGAAGAUUCCAUGGAAGAUUCUCCCCCACAGAGGCAGUCCUUUGCUGGAAUUCAGAUGAAGUCUGUCUUCUUACCUUGUCGGUGGUUGCAAGUUCAGCUCAGAGCAAGAGAAAAAUAUGGACUAUAUCUGUCCUUAUUUCCUACUCUGUGUUGGGACAGCGUAGCCUAGCUCUCCACAGGAUAAGCUGCCUGAAAUCUGCUCUCACUUCAGGGCAGUAUCCUGUUAAUCCUGGUUCUGCAGGUGUACAAAGACAAGCGUCUUCUGGUGGCUGCCCCACUCCUCAUGUUCUCCUCUGCAGAAAAAUUAACCUACUCUAAAAGAGCAUUCCUGAUUUCAUUACUUAGUUCACAACUGCGGUGGUUUCACCCUGAUGGGCUGCUCAGUUCCACCACAUCACUCUGUCACUGCCCCUCCUCAAAAGAAGAGGGGAAGAAAAUAUGAUGGAAAAGGUCUCAAGGGCUGCAAUAAGAACAGGGAGAUCACUCACCAGCUACCAACACAGUAAAAACAGGCACAGUAUUUGGAAAUUAAUACAAUUUAUUACCUAUUACUAUCAGACUAGAGCAAUGAAAACUAAAAGCAAACAUAAGAUACAUCCAAAGGUGCCAUCUCUUCAAAAAACAGUAUGGGGUGAAUUUUUAUUUAAACUUAAUAUAGAUGAACAUGUAUUAUUUUCAUACGAAACAAAUAAACAAAAAACAAAACAAAACA